AAAAUUUCUAUGUAAUUUGGUUAUGAUGGUCAGUUGUGACACAUUGAAAAUCAUAAUACUUGAAGGAAAAUAAGUCAUUUUUGAUGCAUUUAAUACACAAUUUCAAAUCAAUCAAUCAGUGAAUGUGUAUUUUAAAUUACUUGGGUUAAAUGAAACAACUUUGAGAUUGCCCAGUAGUGUUUUCUGUCAGACACUGAUCAUAUAUUCCCUUACAAAAACAUUCCCCCCCCCUUUUCAGAAAGUACCAAGUAAUGCUUAUUGAAGAGCAA
Molecule: long non-coding RNA, 269 nt
Filed under: Mytilus galloprovincialis (Mediterranean mussel)
Lineage: Eukaryota; Metazoa; Mollusca; Bivalvia; Mytilida; Mytilidae
Source: RNAcentral